RNAcentral lists this ribosomal RNA (756 nucleotides) under uncultured Bathyarchaeota archaeon. RNAcentral's name for it is "bacterial SSU rRNA". It matches the Rfam family "Archaeal small subunit ribosomal RNA", at positions 51 to 786 of the family's 1478-position model. Lineage: Archaea; Thermoproteati; Candidatus Bathyarchaeota. The record is from RNAcentral.
AUGCGAGUUGAGCGUCUCUAGCUAUGUUGAGACGCAGCAGACGGCUCAGUAACACGUGGCUAACCUGCCCUCAGGACGAGUAUAAUCCCGGGAAACUGGGGCUAAUACUCGAUAGGUGAGGAUAUCUGGAAUGAUUUCUCACUCAAAGGGUUUAGAAACAUGCUUCUAAUAUCGCCUGGGGAUGGGGCCGCGUCCGAUCAGGUUGUUGGUGAGGUAACGGCUCACCAAGCCUAUAACCGGUACGGGCCGUGAGAGCGGUAGCCCGGAGAUGGGUACUGAGACAAGGACCCAGGCCCUACGGGGCGCAGCAGUCGCGAAAACUCCGCAAUGCACGAAAGUGUGACGGGGCUACCCCGAGUGCUUCCCGCUGAGGGAAGCUUUUCUUUGGUAUAAUUAGCCAUUGGAAUAAGGAGAGGGCAAGACUGGUGUCAGCCGCCGCGGUAAUACCAGCUCUCCGAGUGGUAGGGAUGAUUAUUGGGCUUAAAGCGUCCGUAGCCGGCUUAGCAAGUCUCCUGUUAAACUCAGCGACUUAAUCGUUGAAUCGCGGGAGAUACUACUAGGCUAGGAGGCGGGAGAGGUCGACGGUACUUCUGGGGUAGGGGUGAAAUCCUAUAAUCCCGGGAGGACCACCAGUGGCGAAGGCUGUCGACUAGAACGCGCUCGACGGUGAGGGACGAAAGCUGGGGGAGCGAACCGGAUUAGAUACCCGGGUAGUCCCAGCUGUAAACGAUGCGGGCUAGGUGUUGGGAUGGCUAC